GAAGAGGAAAAACAGUGAGUCGGAUGGCACAGAGGAAAUUACAUCAUCAAGCCAUUUGCUAACACCAAAGAGUUCUGGCACACCAUUGAGCGCUGCUGAAAAGCAGAGGUGCUACCGUUCCAGGCGUGAUGCUGAUGAACAGAGGAGACAAAAGUACUUAGAAAAAGAGAAGUGGAGGAAAGACGUAGAAACAGGGAAGAAGAAAAGGCAAAAAGACUGCAGCGUUAGACAGCAGCGUGCCAGCGAAAAAAAGUGGAGAGAUGCUCAUAAGAGGAGGAAUGCCAGGAAAAAGGUAUUUGAAGGAUUAAACACACCUCCAGUCAGCCCUGAUCCUCCAGUCAGCCCAGAAUAUCCAGUCAGCUCUCAACCUGGGACUUCAAGGCAAUGUGAUCUUGGGAAAAGACAAAGGAGGGCUGCCAAAGCAUUAAAGAGGGAGCUGCAGAAACAACAAGAUCAGUUGAGGAAAGUCGAACAGCGAGCAGAAAAAGGACUGCCCCUCUCCAAGAUCCAAAGACAACAAGUUGGUUCGGCAAAUCUCAGGCACAUCCCUAAGGAGAACCCUGUUGUUUCAUACAGCAGUAGCUGAGGAAGUACGUAACAAGUACGCACAUUCAAAGAGAGAGAGUGUCAGACAAGUCAUUGCAGGAAUAGUCAGUCACCAGCAAAAUCCUGAAGAAGUACAGGUUGCAGAGAUUGGCAAAGGAGGUUUGGCAAAGGAGGUGGACACAACUGGCAAAUGAAAAUGUCUACAGCUACCAGAGGAAGAAACACGAGGGGAUUGCUGCCACGCUGAGAUCAAUGGUGAG
RNAcentral lists this long non-coding RNA (806 nucleotides) under Salmo salar (Atlantic salmon). RNAcentral's name for it is "lncRNA (ENSSSAG00000093196.1)". The record is from RNAcentral. Lineage: Eukaryota; Metazoa; Chordata; Actinopteri; Salmoniformes; Salmonidae.